RNAcentral lists this non-coding RNA (28 nucleotides) under Mus musculus (house mouse). The record is from RNAcentral. Lineage: Eukaryota; Metazoa; Chordata; Mammalia; Rodentia; Muridae.
UGCAACCUCCUGUGCCAUCUGGGACUGC